This 1202-nucleotide long non-coding RNA is filed under the name Salmo salar (Atlantic salmon). RNAcentral's name for it is "lncRNA (ENSSSAG00000107711.1)". Lineage: Eukaryota; Metazoa; Chordata; Actinopteri; Salmoniformes; Salmonidae. The record is from RNAcentral.
GGUGACGCUGGUCUUCCAGGGGAAGCAGCUGACAUGAAGAACAUUGAAGUCAUGUUUGAAGACUAUGGCAUAAGGCUGCCCUUGCUGAAGGCACUGAUUGACAGGCUGCUGCAGGACGGCAUGGUGGAGCUUCUGCAGGACCUAACCACCUCUAGGAGAGUCAAUGAGAAGGAGAAACACGGCUCCAACAUUAUCACUGACUACACAAGAACUGUAAAGUAUGAGAUCUCCAAGGAGCCUCUGACAGAGAUGGACACCAUAGAGGAGGCAGUUGACUCUGACUUAGACAGACAGCUACCAGAACCUAACUCUGAUGCUUUGGAUGAAACGGCGGAGGCCCCCACAUUCUGGAGCCUCACCACUCUUAAUGGUCUUAAAGGGGUCCAAGACGUGGGGAGGAUAGAGAGCACCUCUAAGGGGACAGAGGGGACACUGACAGUGGACGAGGAGUUCAGUGAAGCUCCCUCGCCCAAGUUGACUUUAUCAAACUCAACAUUUAACAACACUACGUCUGAAGAGAGGGUCUCUGAGGUACCAGGGGCAAUAGUAGAAACUGUUCUCCUCAGUGGGGAAGACUCCUUGAAGAAAAAGAAGAGUCGAGAACGGAAGAUGAGUACGGAGGAGGAGGAGGAGGAAUUAUACGAUGGGGAAGAGUACAGUUAUGAAUAUGAGGAUUCCACAGAUGAUCCCUUACUGUCAAUGGAAAAUCAAGGGGAGUUUGAAAUCACAACAGAAAGCACACUACAUGGAAUGAGCAAAGAGAGUGGCCUGACAACUUUAGGUCCAUAUCCAUCCCAGUCACCGGGUGACAGUGAAAAGAAGGGGGAAUUCAUCACACCUAUCCUUCCCAGCACAACAGAAGAAACAGAGAAGGACCUUUCCUAAAUCCACAAAGAUUGAGACUGUAGAUUUGUAAGCACGGAGUGUUUGUAUAAACUGUGAAGUGAAGUGUAUCGCUGGUGAGGAGCAGUCUACCCUUAACCUGACCAGCAUAACAUGAGGAGGGACUUCGCUUCGUCGCGCAAUGAUGAUGUCAUUUGUCCAAUGUCACUCGUCCAAUGCCACUUCUAUGACCAGAAUCGUUUCUUAUACUUAGUCCAAGUACCUAAAAGAUGAACAAUACAUAGGUAAAGCUAAGUUAAAUCAAGACAGUGUAUUAUAUAACGAUUAUUCGACUAAUAAAUUCUUCCAUCAGAUGUCAG